CCAGCCGUCGCGGUUAUACGAAGGACCUAAAUGAAAUAAAAAAUUAAAAUAAGAUAAUUAGAUAUUUUAAAAUAAUUAAGUAAUAAUAAUUGUUUAGGUGAAAUUCAUAUAAUUAUUCAAAAAUAAUCAAUUUAAAAUAAAUAGGUCUUAUAAACUCAGAAACUAAACCCAGGAUUAGAUACCCUGUUAUUCUGAGCUACUUUUUAAUUAGGGUAGUAAAGCAUUCUUCAAACCCAAAGAUUUUGGCGGUAUUUUAUCCUAAUAGAGGAGUUUGUCCCGUAAUCGAUAAUCCCCGUUAAAUCUUACUUUUCUUAAUCGGUUUAUAUACCUCCGUUGUCAGAUUACUUUAGUAGAAUGUUUUCUCAAAAAAUUAUCUUAUGACUUCAGGUCAAGGUGUAACUUAUGGAAAAGAGGUGAUGAACUACAAUAAAAUUAAUUUAAACGAAAUACUUUUGAAAAGGAGUAGGAAGGUGGAUUUAUUAGUAAAUUCCUUUAAGAAUGAAGAAUUGAAUAAGGCAAUAAAAUAUGCACAUAUCGCCCGUCACUCUCCUUAA
RNAcentral lists this ribosomal RNA (554 nucleotides) under Moina mongolica. Its description in RNAcentral is "partial 12S ribosomal RNA". The record is from RNAcentral. Lineage: Eukaryota; Metazoa; Arthropoda; Branchiopoda; Diplostraca; Moinidae.